Molecule: ribosomal RNA, 497 nt
Filed under: uncultured bacterium
Lineage: Bacteria
Description: partial 16S ribosomal RNA
Rfam family: Bacterial small subunit ribosomal RNA
Source: RNAcentral
GAUGAACGCUGGCGGCGUGCCUAAUACAUGCAAGUCGAGCGAACGGACGAGAAGCUUGCUUCUCUGAUGUUAGCGGCGGACGGGUGAGUAACACGUGGAUAACCUACCUAUAAGACUGGGAUAACUUCGGGAAACCGGAGCUAAUACCGGAUGAUAUUUUGAACCGCAUGGUUCAAAAGUGAAAGACGGUCUUGCUGUCACUUAUAGAUGGAUCCGCGCUGCAUUAGCUAGUUGGUAAGGUAACGGUUUACCAAGGCAACGAUGCAUAGCCGACCUGAGAGGGGGAUCGGCCACACUGGAACUGAGACACGGUCCAGACUCCUACGGGAGGCAGCAGUAGGGAAUCUUCCGCAAUGGGCGAAAGCCUGACGGAGCAACGCCGCGUGAGUGAUGAAGGUCUUCGGAUCGUAAAACUCUGUUAUUAGGGAAGAACAUAUGUGUAAGUAACUGUGCACAUCUUGACGGUACCUAAUCAGAAAGCCACGGCUAACUACGUG